GACGAACGCUGGCGGCGUGCUUAACACAUGCAAGUCGAACGAAGUGGCGAACGGGUGAGUAAUACGUGAGUAACCUGCCCUCCUUUUUGGGAUAAGCCUUGGAAACGGGGUCUAAUACCGGAUAGAGGGGGAUGGGCUCGCGGCCUAUCAGCUUGUUGGUGGGGUGAUGGCCUACCUAGGCGACGAUCCCUAGCUGGUCUGAGAGGAUGACCAGCCACACUGGAACUGAGACACGGUCCAGACUCCUACGGGAGGCAGCAGUGGGGAAUAUUGCACAAUGGGCGGAAGCCUGAUGCAGCGACGCCGCGUGGGGGAUGACGGCCUUCGGGUUGUAAACUCCUUUCACCAUCGACGCGGUAGAUGGAGAAGAAGCACCGGCUAACUACGUGCCAGCAGCCGCGGUAAUAC
RNAcentral lists this ribosomal RNA (408 nucleotides) under uncultured bacterium. RNAcentral describes it as "partial 16S ribosomal RNA". It matches the Rfam family "Bacterial small subunit ribosomal RNA", at positions 28 to 526 of the family's 1533-position model. The record is from RNAcentral.